UUCAAUUAAUUUUGCUUAUAUUUAAGUUUGGAUAAGAUGAAUUAAUUUUUUAAAAUAAAAUUUUUUAAAAUUUUGCUUAUAUUUAAUUGUAUGCAGUACAAGCAUCCUGCCAUUUGUCGACGCCACUCUCUCCGAACCACCACCACAUUCUCCUCUUCUUCGAGCAAGCUUUGUUCUUCCCUUUCCUACAGGAAUUCCUUCGCGGUAAGCAUGCCUCGUCAUCUAUUAUGUCUCUUAGUUAGUAAUAGUCAAUCCACUUAGUUACCCAGUUCCAACUUCCAACUAAUAUAGGCCAUAAUCUUUUGCUACUUUACUAUCCCUUCUACACAGACUCUCCUACUUGGAGCUUACUGCCUAUCACAAAAUAUAUUUAACUAUCUCUCUAAAAUUACCCGCUUCACUUCGGCCUGAAGUGUGGGUAAAGCAUAGGCCCAAGCCCACCAGUGUAUUCUGAAAUUGUAAUUUAGUUAUGAGCUAUGAAGCACGGAUACGGACACGGACACCGGACACGACACGGACACUGACACAGCUGAUAAUUUGAAAAAAUCACAUAAUUCAGUAUAAUUACAAGUGUCGGUGUCGUGUCGGACACAACACGUGUCCGACACCGGGACACGCCUAAUCCAAGGAGUGUCCGUGCUUCAUAGGUUAUGAGUGAAUGGGAGUGGCAAGGAUUGAACACUCCUAACGACUUGGUCAUACAAGAGUGGGAAGGAUUGAACUCAUAACCACUUGGUCAUAGAAGCCUCUAGUCCAGUCCAAGGACCAAAUGUCCCAAAAGCCUAGGCUAAAGAGUGCAUCGCAUCUGUUAACAUUUGCUAAUGCAGAGUUACAUUCCUUUUUAUUUUUAAAAGAUUAUUGUAUAAAUUAUUUAAGAUACUGUUGAAAAUACAUCAUGCAAUUGAAGAUUAAGGUUCAAACCUUGAAGCAUUCUAUCUUGAUUAUCAAGGCAAUAAAUAUAAAUUAUAAUGGUAGAAACUCCUGUCUAAGAUUGCCACCCAUUUCCAUCCUCCAUGAUUGAUCAACUAGACUUGCAAACUCUCUGAAAUGCACAUACGAAGCUCCAUAAGGAAAAUUAGCGAUUCACAAAGUACUACAAUAUAUAAAAAGAGAAACCAAAAUUUCUUUUACAAUUAGAAGAGGAAUUGAGUAAUGGGAGAACAUGUUCUAGUUCAAAGUUAGAAUCAAUAUAUAAGGAUUAAUCUUACGAUCUCCUAGCUACAACACAUGUAAAAGCAUCUAUACUGCCACCAAAAACCCUUAGCUGUUUUGAGUUCAUAUCAAUUUAAUAGUUAUAGUUUUCUUACAUUCAAUGCCAAAUUGUUAAAUGAAUUGCUGAUUGGAAAGCAUAUUUGAUGUAGAACUAAUCAUUACAUCACAACAACAGCCAUGCCACUUUCCACUUGGUGGAGUCAGCUGCAUGGAUUAUAUGACGCCAUAAUGCUUCUAUCGUGUGAAUGAACAAACCCCAAGAUAUUGAAGACAACUCUAUCCCACCAAUUACUUCCCUCUACAUCACAACUCCUUUUCCUAUUUAUAGGCAAAAUGUCUGAUUCAUUUUUUAUAACCGACUCAACUUUCUGCCUGAUUAGCCUAAGUAAACCACUAACAAAGGGUUACUAUCAAACACCAUAUAAAUUCUAUAGUAACAGUUAUCCGUUAAUAUAUCAAAAUAAUUAUUUAAAUAAAAUUAAUUCAAUUUCUUUGUAACAUAAUUAUUUAAACGAAAUUACUUCAAUUUCUUUAUAAUAAUUGAAGUUAGAAGAAUUUCUAAUUGAAGUGAAUGGAUAAAAAAAUUAAAGCAAAAGAAACACUCAAACAAAUAUAAUACUCCCUUCGACGCCAUCUAUAAGAAAAGGUUUGAUGUUGUUUUUGUCCUAAUGAUAAGAAAAAAUCACAAAUUUUAAGGGUUAUAAAUUGCAAAAAUUACUUUAAUAUCGUUCCUAUAUUUACUAGAAAUUCAUAUGUUGCCUAUAUAAAUGGGCGUAAAAACAUUUAAUGCCACUAUGCCAGAAUUUUAUUUAGUCUUGAUUUUUUUCUUCCUAUAUAUGGGACUAAAGGAAGUAUAUAAUAAAAAUUGAACAAUAAUAUGAUUAAAAAGUAUAUGAUCUAAAAUUACUAGAGAAAAUUGAAACAACCUCAAGUCAUGGCUGACAACAAGCACAGUUAAUUCUUUUUUUAGAUGCUUUAAAAGCUUCACAACAUCCGCACGUGCUUUCCAAUCUGGCCAGAGGAAAGUGGUAUUAGAUACAGCUUUAAAAAAGAAUACACUGUACUUUAUUUAAAAAAAAAAAAAAAAGGUAUUUCCUAAAUGAUAUUAUAUUCACAUUCUUCAAAUUAAAAUAACUAUUAACAUUGUCAUUAGCCUUAGAUCAAGUGGCACCAAGUCCUUCUUAUAAAUACUUGAUGUUAUCAUAAAUUCCACUGUUUCCACUUUGACUCUACUCUAUUGUAGCCUUCCCUCACAUUAUGUCUCUUAGACCUCUUUUGUAAAAUAAUAAAGCCAAAGCAAAGGGAUAAACAAGGCAGAGUCCUCAAGGAAAUUUGUAGAAGAAUAGUAGUCAUCAAUCCCAAAAGGUAGAGUGAUUGAUGCCUAAACUAUUACACAGCUGAAUGACCAUCGUAUUGCAGAUUAUACCGAGGUGCUUUCUGGAGUUGUACAUCAUGUUUAUGUGGAAGAUGCCAUGAUUUCAUAGGAUACGAAAGGUGAACAUUGAGAAAUCUAAAGACUCAAUACAAACCACAAACUCACAGAAAAAAAUAAAUAAAUAAAUAAAAGAAAUAUACACAGAUAGGAGUGAACAGCAGAGUAAUCACUGAUUGCAAAGCAUAUUUAAACUUGUUCACAAGUGAGGCCUAAAACAUCAGGAAAUUUCAGCGAAAAUUAGCACAACUGAGGGCACAAUAAGUGAGGCAAAUAUGCUUUGAAUCAUGGUACCAAGAUAAAAAUGAUAUUGAUAACCUGAGCAGAAACAGUAAUUAUAUAACAAUCCAAAUGUGGGGAAGGAAUAUGUAAACGCAAUUGAACAUAAUAGUUAGAAUACAAAAUGAAAGAGAAUCAGGGUCUUUCAAAUGCUUGGAAAUUUUCUAAUGACAUACAGUUGAUGUUAUGGGUUUUAUAUAAAAAGCAGAGAUAAUUAAUAAAACCUUGAUUUUAGUUGGAACAAGUUGAAUACAUUUUAAAGGGAAGAAAUCCAGAGGUUAAUUUAGUUCAAUGACUCGUAGUAAUGCAGAAUUAAAUAAAAAGCACAGGUUGCAGUUUUAUACCAAGUCCGGCAAGAGGCUCAUCCAAUAUUAAUAAAUCGGGGAUUUGCACCUGAAAAUUUUGAAAAAAAAAUAAAAAAAUUAAUCCAAUUGUCGCUUGUUUGACUGACAACUAAAACAUCUAACAAAAGCAAAACCAAGUGGUUAAAAAUUAACUUACUAAUUGUAUUGCCAAGGCAAGGCGACGUUUGUAACCGCCACUGAGAGAGUGAGGAUUCUUAUCCAAUGAUAUCCCACUUAAUCCAACCUAUAGUUAUGAAAAAGAAAUGGUAUUGCAUAUGAAACAUAAGAACAUAUAUAUAUAUAUAUAUAUAUAUAUAUAAAAGAAUAGACUCUGUAAUAUCAAAAGGUAUAACUACCCAGUUAAUAGCCCUCUGAAGCCCUAGAGCAAGAUUCUCCCUUAAUUGAUCAUUACCCUUUUGUCUUGGCCACCCAAAAGUGACUUCAUCAAGUACAGUAUCAGCAACAAAAUACCUAGGUUGCAACACCAAUGAUUAGAAGUUUAGAGAUAAAAAUCCAAUAAAAAUGAAGCAAUUCAGAAAAUAAUUAUAAAAGGCUAAUGAAAACAGUUAGGAAAUUAAACAAUACACCACUCUGACAAAUGGAUCAAAAAAGAUUCAAUUUAGUAUUGCGAAACCUGUAAAAAGUGUUUAGGGUAAAUUUCCAAGAAUAUUUGAAUGCUAAGAUCAACAGAAUUAUCCUUCAGAUUCAAGUAAAACACUGAAACUAAUGAAUGACCGAUGAAAAACUUAUCUCUAAUCCUACAAAGGUAUUCUGUUGCAAGUGUCAGAAACAAAUAAUCUGUAUAACGCUCUUACUAAAAUUUCAUGUCAGAUAAUGAUGCAAUACAUUCUCAGCAUUAAAAGAACUAUUGAUUAUAGAAAGUUGUAAGCCUGAAAUGUUGGUCCCUUGUGACCUUUUCUAUGUCUAUUCUUCGUUGAGUAACGUUAAAUUUGUAGGGGUUCCAACAGCAAAAUUGAAACAACGUAGUGAUGCACAUAGCAUUAUAGCUCAAUAUUUGCAACAUAAGACUAAAACAAAAUGCAAGUUACAUUGUAAAAAAAUCUCUUACGAUAUAUGAUUAGUUUUAUAUUCAUACCUCUCUGGAAACUGGAAGACAAUACCGACCCUUUCCGGCACCAACGGUUCAGGAGAUUGACUUGGACUCCCAUCAUCCCCAUAUUUUUGGAUGUGAAUAGAUCCAGAUGUUGGUUUGUUUAUUCCUGCAAGAAGCUAUUUAAAACGAAAAGAAACCAUGGGUAGGAGUGACAAUAAUUAACCAAACAUGUAAACACAGGAAUGUUAAUUAAAGAAGAAUCACUAAAAAGUCAAAAAGAUGGAUGACCUGCAAGAGAGUUGUUUUCCCGCUUCCACUCUGUCCGAAAAUUAGACCCAAACUGUGAAUGUGUUAACCAGAUAUGAGCUACUACACAUAUACAAAAAUCCUUUUGUCUUUUACCGAAAAUGUAAAACAUCGAGUAUGUAUAUGUGUUAACCAGUUUCAAAAGGAUAGUAGUUAAAGUUAUUUUAGGAGAAACAAAAAGGAGAUACAACUGGAAGUAACAUACAUUAAGAUUCUCCCAACCCCCUUAACAGUAACUUCGACUACUCUGGAAAUAUUUAAAGAAAUGAGGAUAAAUUGGCAUACAAAAACUGGUAGGAAAAUUCAUACUGAGGAUCAGUUCUAAGAAAUAUUUUAAAAACCAAUUCGGCAAGAGUUGAGACCUCAGAGUCAUGAUUCAGCUAUUUUAAACCAGGACAAAACUGUGAUCAAACCGGUCAAAUAAUCAAAUUGUAAGUUUAUAAAACACAUCUAAAACAACAAAACCAAAACAUCCCAAAUUGAUUCAUAGUUCAAUUUGAUGAAAUUUGGACAAAAACAAGCUAAUAGAACUGGCACUUAAGAGUGAAGGCAUCUCAGUGUGUCAGGCAUCAUGUCUCGUAUCGUGCUGUUACCCGACUCCUACACUUGUGAUUUCAAUCAUUCCAUUUUCUUAAAUCAUUUCAAGUAUCUAAUUGAAUUAUGUCCAAACACACAACUGCGAUUUAUCCGCUCAAAUGAAUAAACUUCAUUGUUUAACCGUUCAGUUCAGUUUUUCAAACAAUAGUUAUUAGUUACAAGCUCUGAAGUACAGACACCGGACACGUUAACGCCGAUAAUAAUUUGAAAAAAUGACAUAGUUCAAUGGAAACACAUGUGAUGGUGUCGGUGUCAGACAGAAGUUAUAAGUAAUAAAUACCAAAAAAACCCUCAAACUGAUACAUAAUUGAAUUUGAUUAAAUCAAAACACGAAUAAAUAAUACCUUUUCUCUGGAAGUGAAAAAUUAACUGAAUUGAGAAGCUUAAACUCAGUCCCUGGUGGUUGAUAGCUAACAUCUCUAACCUAAAUAAAAAAACAUCACAAUUUCAUUACUACAUACACAUUCCUUAAAUUUCAACUCAAUAAUCCCUAAUUAUGCAAAUAUACUAAAUCAAAUUCAUACAUUCAAAUCAAAUUUCAACUCUAUAAUCCCUAAUUAUUCAAAUAUAAAUCAAAUUCAUACAUUCAACUCAAAUUUCUACUCUAUAACUAUAACCACAAUUUCACUACUACAUACAUUCAUUCCGCCAAUUUCUUCAAAAAUUGCAUUCCGUAGAAUCAAAAUCAAAUUCAACUUCCACGAAUUCUUGAAACCGACAAAGAAACUCAAAAUCGCUACUAAAUCCAUAAAAAUAUGAGUAAAAAUUGCAUUUCAGAAAUUCAACAAAUACUUGAAACGGUUACUCGACUAAGAAACUCAAAAUCACUAUUAAAGGCAUAAAAAAUGAGUAAAAAUUGCAUUUCAGAUAUCAAAAUCAACGAAAACUUGAAACGGUUAUUGGAGAAGAGAAAACAUACUUCGAGAGAAGAGUAACUGCAGCGAGUGGUUGAGGAAUUGAAGAAGCUACAAUGCGAUUGAGGAGAGCGAGAAAGUGAGGGAAAAGAAGAAAGUGGUGGUUUGAGGAAGUGAAAGGUGAUUGGUGAAUUAAUUGAGGUAGCCAUUGCCAUCGGCAUAGGCAUAGAUAGACGGUGGUGGUUCGGUUGGGAGAGAGGGAGGAGCCAAUUGUUGCGGAGAGUUUAGAAAUUUGACAGUUGGUUUGAAAAUAUUUGCAUCUUUAUUAUAAAAAUCAUCAAAUUUGAUCAAAAAGUGUUUAUACAAAAGUUUCAUGUUUUCCAUUGUUUUUAAAAUUAAAGUGUGUUUGGACGAAGUAAUUGAGAAAUUUUAAAAGAAUUUAAAAUUUUAGGCAAUUUAGAUGAUUCAAUUAAAUUACUUUUAUUUCUCAAUUCUUUUGUUUGGAUGAAGUAAUAAAAAAAUUCAUUGUCAUAAUUUUUGGGCAACUUUUAUAAAUUUUAAUUUUUUUGGGCCAAAUUUAAAAAUUGAAAUUAGGGGUCAAAAUGUAAAUUUAAAAAAAUUGAGGGGUCAAAUUAUAAUUUUUGAAAAAUUUGAGGGACCAAUUUGCAAUUUUUUGGAAAUUUAUUGGGGUCAAUUUGAAAUUUUUGGAAAAUUUGAGGACCAAAAUGCAAAAUAUAAAAAAUAACAACAAUGAAGAAAUUUGAAGGUGUCAUUUGAAAUUCUCUAAAUUUAACUUGAACAAAAUACUUCAUAAAUUUCCAUCAUUUUGAAAAUGCUUCAAAUUAUUAUCCAAACAAUGGAUUUCACCCCAAAGUAUUUGAAUUCCCUCAAAACAAUACAUUCCCUCAAAACAUUCCUCCAUCCAAACACACUCAAGUUCAUAUUUUUAUUAUUCAAUCUUGAUUUGAAACAAAAUUGAUUUUUUUUCAAGAAAAAAAAAAUUUGAUUGUUUGGUGGAUUUAUAAUACUAUUUAUGAAGAAAAAAAAAUCGUAAAAUUAGAAUUGAAUUCAAACACAAUAAGAAAAAAAAAAUGUGUGUUAAUAAUCAUGUAUAAUGUCAUAAAUACUUUUGAACCUAUAACAUCAAUGUUAAAUAGAAAACCUCUAUCUUCCUCUCUCUUCUCUCCUUCUCUCCUUCUCAAACCCUAGCCGUCACCUCUUUCUUCUGUUUCUUCUUUUCAAGGGGUGAUUUAGGGUCAAUUUUGACCCAAAAAUCACCCCUUCGAAUUGUUUUUCCUUCUAUCUUAAUUGAAUAAGUGAUUUCACAUAUUUUUUGUUUUCUUUUGUUUAUUUUUGUGAUUUCGUCGUCUCUGAACGACUCUAUUUGUUUUGAUUUCCCGUCUUUGUGCGGUGUGUUUUUGAUUUCUCAUCUUAGUGCGGUGUUUAUUUGAUUCAGGUUGAAAGAUUAGCUUUGAGCAAGUGCAGAUCCGAUCAAUGACAAUGACUUUGGAGUCGUCAACGUUGCAGAUCCGGAAACAUGAGUAUUCUAGAGACAUGAAUAUAGUCAUAUUAGUCAUAUUUGUAGGCAUAGAUACUUUGCCGUUUUAUGCUAUUAACAUG
Molecule: long non-coding RNA, 7698 nt
Filed under: Medicago truncatula (barrel medic)
Lineage: Eukaryota; Viridiplantae; Streptophyta; Magnoliopsida; Fabales; Fabaceae
Description: long non-coding RNA (MTRU_LNC004835)
Source: RNAcentral